RNAcentral lists this ribosomal RNA (489 nucleotides) under uncultured Polaribacter sp. Its description in RNAcentral is "bacterial SSU rRNA". It matches the Rfam family "Bacterial small subunit ribosomal RNA", at positions 39 to 524 of the family's 1533-position model. The record is from RNAcentral. Lineage: Bacteria; Pseudomonadati; Bacteroidota; Flavobacteriia; Flavobacteriales; Flavobacteriaceae.
GCUUCGGGGGCUUACACAUGCAAGUCGAGGGGUAACAGGGAGCUUGCUCCGCUGACGACCGGCGCACGGGUGCGUAACGCGUAUAGAACCUACCUUUUACAGGGGGAUAGCCUUUAGAAAUGAAGAUUAAUACCCCAUAGUAUUGACUGAUCGCAUGAUUAGUUACUUAAAGAUUUAUCGGUAAAAGAUGGCUAUGCGUCCUAUUAGUUAGUUGGUAAGGUAACGGCUUACCAAGACAGCGAUAGGUAGGGGUCCUGAGAGGGAGAUCCCCCACACUGGUACUGAGACACGGACCAGACUCCUACGGGAGGCAGCAGUGAGGAAUAUUGGGCAAUGGAGGAGACUCUGACCCAGCCAUGCCGCGUGCAGGAAGACUGCCCUAUGGGUUGUAAACUGCUUUUAUACAGGAAGAAACACUGGUAUGUAUACCAGCUUGACGGUACUGUAAGAAUAAGGACCGGCUAACUCCGUGCCAGCAGCCGCGGUAAC